GACGAACGCUGGCGGCGUGCUUAACACAUGCAAGUCGAACGGAAAGGCCCCUUUGGGGGUACUCGAGUGGCGAACGGGUGAGUAACACGUGAGUAACCUGCCCUUGACUUCGGGAUAACUUCAGGAAACUGGGGCUAAUACCGGAUAGGAAUCCUUGCUGCAUGGUGGGGGUUGGAAAGCUUCGGCGGUUUUGGAUGGACUCGCGGCUUAUCAGCUUGUUGGUGGGGUAGUGGCUUACCAAGGCUUUGACGGGUAGCCGGCCUGAGAGGGCGACCGGCCACAUUGGGACUGAGAUACGGCCCAGACGCCUACGGGAGGCAGCAGGGGGGAAUAUUGCACAAGGGGCGGAAGCCGGAUGCAGCAACGCCGCGGGCGGGAGGACGGCCUUCGGGUUGGAAACCGCUUUCAGCAGGGGCGAAGCUUGUGGUGACGGUACCUGCAGAAGAAGCACCGGCUAACUACGUG
This 465-nucleotide ribosomal RNA is filed under the name uncultured bacterium. RNAcentral's name for it is "partial 16S ribosomal RNA". It matches the Rfam family "Bacterial small subunit ribosomal RNA", at positions 28 to 507 of the family's 1533-position model. The record is from RNAcentral.